RNAcentral lists this ribosomal RNA (272 nucleotides) under uncultured bacterium. RNAcentral's name for it is "partial 16S ribosomal RNA". It matches the Rfam family "Bacterial small subunit ribosomal RNA", at positions 70 to 339 of the family's 1533-position model. RNAcentral also lists the same sequence under 1 other name. The record is from RNAcentral.
AUACUGAAUUUCGGUUUAGUAUUUUAGUGGCGCACGGGUGAGUAACGCGUGAGCAACCUGUCCUUCAGAGGGGGACAACGGCUGGAAACGGCCGCUAAUACCGCAUGACAUAUCCGGAUGGCAUCGUCUGGAUAUCAAAGGAGAAAUCCGCUGAAGGGUGGGCUCGCGUCCGAUUAGCUAGUUGGCAGGGUAACGGCCUACCAAGGCGACGAUCGGUAGCCGAACUGAGAGGUUGAUCGGCCGCAUUGGGACUGAGACACGGCCCAGACUCC